AUUGCAUUAAAUGCAAAUUUUAUGCUGCUAAUUGACAGGCGCAACACUGAAUAUAGCAGGAUUGCAUUAAUUGCAAGCUGAAUAGCAGCUGCUACCAUACAAAGUGCAGGGGGCGCAAAGCUGGAAAUAGCCGAACUUCAUUAAUUGCAAGUUGACUAGCAGAAUACAUGAAGUACAGCAAGGAGACUUAGUCAUAUGGGCUGCAUAGCCAAUAGGGCGCAUAAUUAAGUUAGAUUUAAGUAGAUUUAAAUUUGAAUUUUAGGCGCAAGCGCCGUCAGAUAUGUUCGCUGCACAUAUACAUA
Molecule: long non-coding RNA, 302 nt
Organism: Drosophila mojavensis
Lineage: Eukaryota; Metazoa; Arthropoda; Insecta; Diptera; Drosophilidae
Exons: 4
Source: RefSeq, a predicted model, not a curated record